UACGGGGGGGGCAAGCGUUGUUCGGAAUUAUUGGGCGUAAAGGGCUCGUAGGCGGUUUGUCGCGUCGGGAGUGAAAACUCAGGGCUCAACCCUGAGCGUGCUUCCGAUACGGGCAGACUAGAGGUAUGCAGGGGAGAACGGAAUUCCUGGUGUAGCGGCGGAAUGCGCAGAUAUCAGGAGGAACACCGGUGGCGAAGGCGGUUCUCUGGGCAUUACCUGACGCUGAGGAGCGAAAGCAUGGGGAGCGAACAGG
Molecule: ribosomal RNA, 253 nt
Filed under: uncultured bacterium
Lineage: Bacteria
Description: partial 16S ribosomal RNA
Rfam family: Bacterial small subunit ribosomal RNA
Source: RNAcentral